GAUGCCUUAGUUCAGUUGGUCAGAGCACAGUGCUAACAAUGCCAAGGUUGUGGGUUUGGUCCCCAUAUGGACCA
This 74-nucleotide transfer RNA is filed under the name Lamprotornis superbus. RNAcentral's name for it is "tRNA-OTHER". Lineage: Eukaryota; Metazoa; Chordata; Aves; Passeriformes; Sturnidae. The record is from RNAcentral.